This is a long non-coding RNA of Rhopalosiphum maidis (corn leaf aphid), 210 nucleotides long. RefSeq lists it as uncharacterized. The transcript has 3 exons. The record is from RefSeq and is a predicted model, not a curated record. Lineage: Eukaryota; Metazoa; Arthropoda; Insecta; Hemiptera; Aphididae.
UGACCAGAAGACACUGACAAUAAGAAUGGUUUUAUACAAUAUGGCAUUAGAGCAGAUCACUCAAGGCAUGCGCAGACAAUAAUUCACAUUUCUACCACAUUGGAGAGUACAAAAUCACAUGUUGAAUAUUGACCGGAAGACACUGACAAUCAGAAUGGUUUUAUGCAAUAUGGCAUUAGAGCAGAUCACUCAAGGCAUGCGCAGACAAUA